This 264-nucleotide ribosomal RNA is filed under the name uncultured bacterium. RNAcentral describes it as "partial 16S ribosomal RNA". It matches the Rfam family "Bacterial small subunit ribosomal RNA", at positions 793 to 1055 of the family's 1533-position model. The record is from RNAcentral.
GUCCACGCUGUAAACGAUGAGUGCUAGUUGUCGGCAUGCAUGCAUGUCGGUGACGCAGCUAACGCAUUAAGCACUCCGCCUGGGGAGUACGGUCGCAAGAUUAAAAACUCAAAGGGAAUUGACGGGGGCCCGCACAAGCGGUGGAGCAUGUGGUUUAAUUCGAAGCAACGCGCAGAACCUUACCACCUUUUGACAUGUCCAGACCGCCGGAGAGAUCCGGUUUUCCCUUCGGGGACUGGAACACAGGUGCUGCAUGGCUGUCGU